UCAGUAACGCCGAGUAUUAAUACUUGUCCUCAGUAACGCCGAAUGCUGAUGGUGCGUAUUAAUACUUGUCCUCAGUAACGCCGAGUGCUGAUGGUGUGUACCAAUUUAAAAUCUUGUUUCUUUUCAUUGAAAGGGUCUCCAAGGUGACGGAGGAGUCAUGUGAGUGAUUGCUUCAGCAAAGGUAAACUCACCUGGUCAGACGACCAAUCAGAAGUGUUUCUUCCCCAGGAGCUUCAGACGGGCUCGAUGUGAAAAUAAAGCUGACAUAAAUAUCCACAGAGGCUCCUGAUUGGCUGAAUCUGUGAACCUUCAGGGCUGCUGACUGUUUAAUUUACACCUAAUGUUUAAAUUGGUGCUCUAGUCAGAGGUGGGCCCUCCCACACCUGAGGGGGCUCACCUUCAUGAGGGGGCGGGCAGAACGCCGCUGUGAGAGCACUUUGUCACAGCGACCACCUUUUCUGAUGGCGUUUUUUUCUGACUUUGUGUUGGCUGACGAGUAUUUGACCUUUGUGCUCUGCAGAAGAAGCGGGAGGCGGCAGAGAGCGACGGCGAAGCUGUGACGCCCGGCACGCCGUCUGCAGAGGACGUGAAGAAAGAGAAGAGGGCAAAACUGGAGGAGGCGGGGCCUGGCGGUGCAGCCACGGAGCCUGAAGAGGAGGGGACGGAGCCUACGACAGAGGUCGAAAGUGCGAAGAAGAAGAAACAGAAGGACAGCGACGUGUCAGUAAGGAUGCCAUAUCAGCAGGUGAACAGGAAAUGGACUCUACCCACGUGACACCUGUCUGAACGCAAAGCAUUCUGGGAGUCUAAUAACAAUGGACUGCACGGACGCAGAAAAAAGAGGACUGUUUGUUGUUUUUUAUAAAGAUGUUAUGUUUUUGCAGCUGUAAAUACCUGAACAGGAAGCCUGUUUGUAAUUUCAAAUUAAAAGUUGUUUUCUGUA
This is a long non-coding RNA of Micropterus salmoides (largemouth bass), 943 nucleotides long. RefSeq lists it as uncharacterized. The transcript is spliced from 2 exons. The record is from RefSeq and is a predicted model, not a curated record. NCBI's taxonomy places the organism in Eukaryota, Metazoa, Chordata, Actinopteri, Centrarchiformes, Centrarchidae.